AAAAAGCUCGUAGUUGAAACUUGGGCCUGGCUGGCGGGUCCGCCUCACCGCGUGCACUCGUCCGGCCGGGCCUUCCUUCUGAAGAACCUCAUGCCCUUCACUGGGCGUGCUGGGGAAUCAGGACUUUUACUUUGAAAAAAUUAGAGUGUUCAAAGCAGGCCUUUGCUCGAAUACGUUAGCAUGGAAUAAUAAAAUAGGGCGUGCGUUUCUAUUUUGUUGGUUUCUAGAGACGCCGCAAUGAUUAACAGGAACAGUCGGGGGCAUCAGUAUUCAGUUGUCAGAGGUGAAAUUCUUGGAUUUACUGAAGACUAACUACUGCGAAAGCAUUUGCCAAGGAUGUUUUCAUUAAUCAGUGAACGAAAGUUAGGGGAUCGAAGACGAUCAGAUACCGUCGUAGUCUUAACCGUAAACUAUGCCGACUAGGGAUCGGGCGAUGUUCUUUUUCUGACUCGCUCGGCACCUUACGAGAAAUCAAAGUUUUUGGGUUCUGGGGGGAUUAUGGUCGCAAGGCUGAAACUUAAAGAAAUUGACGGAAGGUCACCACCAGGCGUGGAAGCCUGCGGCUUAAUUUGACUCAACACGGGGAAACUCACCAGGUCCAGAUGAAAUAAGGAUUGACAGAUUGAGAGCUCUUUCUUGAUUUUUCAGGUGGUGGUGCAUGGCCGUUCUUAGUUCGUGGGGUGACUUGUCUGCUUAAUUGCGAUAACGAGCGAGACCUUACUCUGCUAAAUAGCCAGGCUAACUUUGGUUGGUCGCCGGCUUCUUAGAGAGACUAUCAACUCAAGUUGAUGGAAGUUUGAGGCAAUAACAGGUCUGUGAUGCCCUUAGAUGUUCUGGGCCGCACGCGCGCUACACUGACAGAGCCAACGAGUUCUUUUCCUUGUUCGAAAGAAUUGGGUAAUCUUGUUAAACUCUGUCGUGCUGGGGAUAAAGCAUUGCAAUUAUUGCUUUUCAACGAGGAAUGCC
This 966-nucleotide ribosomal RNA is filed under the name uncultured eukaryote. Its description in RNAcentral is "SSU rRNA". It matches the Rfam family "Eukaryotic small subunit ribosomal RNA", at positions 621 to 1614 of the family's 1831-position model. The record is from RNAcentral.